Molecule: non-coding RNA, 21 nt
Filed under: Arabidopsis thaliana (thale cress)
Lineage: Eukaryota; Viridiplantae; Streptophyta; Magnoliopsida; Brassicales; Brassicaceae
Source: RNAcentral
UGUAGGUGCGGCGCUGGUGUC